RNAcentral lists this ribosomal RNA (494 nucleotides) under uncultured bacterium. RNAcentral describes it as "partial 16S ribosomal RNA". It matches the Rfam family "Bacterial small subunit ribosomal RNA", at positions 28 to 507 of the family's 1533-position model. The record is from RNAcentral.
GACGAACGCUGGCGGCGUGCUUAACACAUGCAAGUCGAACGGUGAAGCGCCUUCCUUUUUGGUGGGUGUGGAUGAGUGGCGAACGGGUGAGUAACACGUGAGUAACCUGCCCCCUUCUUCUGGAUAACCGCAUGAAAGUGUGGCUAAUACGGGAUAUUCUGGGUCUGUCGCAUGAUGGGUCUGGGAAAGAUAUUGUUUCGGUGGGGGAUGGGCUGGCGGCCUAUGAGCUUGUUGGUGGGGUGAUGGCCUACCACGGCGGUGGCGGGUACCCGGCCUGAGAGGGUUGACGGGCACACUGGGACGGAGGCACGGCCAAGACUGCUACGGGAGGCAGCAGUGGGGAAUAUUGCACAAUGGGCUCAAGCCUGAUGCAGCGACGCCGCGUGAGGGAUGGAGGCCUGCGGGUUGUGAACCUCUUUCGCCAGUGAAGCAGGACUGCCUCGUCUGUGGGUGGGUUGACGGUAGCUGGAUAAGAAGCGCCGGCUAACUACGUG